GCUUUUUCACCGAGUGCGGCUGGGAUUAUUUGUAUAUUUACGAUGGUGAUAGUGUUUAUGGAAAGCAGCUUGCCGCACUAUGGUUGGUUUUGAAAUUUUAAAAUUUUAUGUGAAAAUGAAAUAUUUCAGCGGAGAACAACCAUCACAAGAGUUCACUGCGGCUUCUGGUAAAGCACUGGUGCACUUUUUCAGUGACUUAGCCAUUAAUUUAAACGG
Molecule: small RNA, 216 nt
Filed under: Caenorhabditis elegans
Lineage: Eukaryota; Metazoa; Nematoda; Chromadorea; Rhabditida; Rhabditidae
Description: Unclassified non-coding RNA F33C8.11
Source: RNAcentral